AACGAACGCUGGCGGCAGGCUAAAUACAUGCAAGUCGAGCGGGCACUUCGGUGUCAGCGGCGCACGGGUGCGUAACGCGUGGGAACAUGCCUUUAGGUACGGAACAACCAAGGGAAACUUUGGCUAAUACCGUAUAAUAUCUCUGGAUCAAAGAUUUAUCGCCUAAAGAUUGGCCCGCGUUAGAUUAGGUAGUUGGUGGGGUAAUGGCCUACCAAGCCGACGAUCUAUAGGGGGUCUGAGAGGAUGAUCCCCCACACUGGAACUGAGACACGGUCCAGACUCCUACGGGAGGCAGCAGUAAGGAAUAUUGGACAAUGGGCGAAAGCCUGAUCCAGCCAUGCCGCGUGAGUGAUGAAGGCCUUAGGGUUGUAAAGCUCUUUUAGAUGGGAAGAUAAUGACUGUACCAUCAGAAUAAGCCCCGGCUAAAUUCGUG
Molecule: ribosomal RNA, 433 nt
Filed under: uncultured bacterium
Lineage: Bacteria
Description: partial 16S ribosomal RNA
Rfam family: Bacterial small subunit ribosomal RNA
Source: RNAcentral